Molecule: non-coding RNA, 236 nt
Filed under: Romboutsia lituseburensis
Lineage: Bacteria; Bacillati; Bacillota; Clostridia; Peptostreptococcales; Peptostreptococcaceae
Description: T-box
Rfam family: T-box leader
About the family: Uncharged tRNA acts as the effector for transcription antitermination of genes in the T-box leader family. T-boxes are found upstream of many aminoacyl-tRNA synthetase genes and some amino acid biosynthetic genes usually in Gram-positive bacteria. The anticodon of a specific tRNA base pairs to a specifier sequence within the T-box motif, and the NCCA acceptor tail of the tRNA base pairs to a conserved bulge in the T-box antiterminator hairpin.
Source: RNAcentral
AUAAAAGCUAUGAAGGAGACAGUAAGCUUUAAAUAAUUUCACAGAGAGUUGGAUAAGCUGAGAACCAAUAAAUUUAUAAAGUCGAAGAUCACUCCUAAGCUGCAGGCUGAACGAUUAUAAUCAAUUAAGCUGAGCCGGUUAGUGCCGUUAAACUAUACUAUAGAGUGCUAUAAAAUAUUUUAUUAAUAAUAUUUUAUAGAAUUAGGGUGGUAACGCGAUUAAUACUCGUCCCUUUU